Molecule: long non-coding RNA, 414 nt
Organism: Platichthys flesus (European flounder)
Lineage: Eukaryota; Metazoa; Chordata; Actinopteri; Pleuronectiformes; Pleuronectidae
Exons: 3
Source: RefSeq, a predicted model, not a curated record
UCGGCCCGGGAAGCGAGGGCAGCUGUGUGUUAAGGAGAAGAGGAAAACUAGAGAAAAAAACCCAGAGUGAAACCUGUGAAAAAGGAAAAAAAGAGUCGGAGCACUUACCCAGUGGAGGUCUGGAGCCAAGUGGCUGAACGAAGGAGAGUUACGUCGCAGGCUAACUGCUUGCCUGUCCUCCGGAGAGCUGCUACGAGGUUCGGCAUCGGCAUGCUCCACCUUGAUACACAGAGCAACGGUCAGGUUUUUUAGAGGACUGAGAGUCUGAGGUUCAGGACAACUUCCUGCUGUGAAAGAUGGCGAGCCAACUACCCUGAUUGAAGAUUAUCACCGAGGAGAUAUUCAAGUACACACUCAUUCACACAAAUAAUACACUCACAUUACACUACAAGGAACCUUGGAAUAAGGUGAACC